Molecule: unclassified non-coding RNA, 115 nt
Organism: Callithrix jacchus (white-tufted-ear marmoset)
Lineage: Eukaryota; Metazoa; Chordata; Mammalia; Primates; Cebidae
Rfam family: Metazoan signal recognition particle RNA
About the family: The signal recognition particle (SRP) is a universally conserved ribonucleoprotein. It is involved in the co-translational targeting of proteins to membranes.
Source: Ensembl
GCCGGGCGUGGUGGCUCACGCCUGUAAUCCAACCACUUGGAGGCCAAGGCAGGGGGAUCACCUGAGGUCGGGAGUUCAAGACCAGCCUGACUAACAUGGUGAAACCCUGUCUUUA